This 461-nucleotide ribosomal RNA is filed under the name uncultured Methylomirabilota bacterium. RNAcentral describes it as "bacterial SSU rRNA". It matches the Rfam family "Bacterial small subunit ribosomal RNA", at positions 977 to 1435 of the family's 1533-position model. Lineage: Bacteria; Methylomirabilota (SeqCode). The record is from RNAcentral.
GGGCUUGACAUCCCACGAACCUGCCCGAAAAGGUGGGGUGCCCGCAAGGGAGCGUGGAGACAGGUGGUGCAUGGCUGUCGUCAGCUCGUGUCGUGAGAUGUUGGGUUAAGUCCCGCAACGAGCGCAACCCUCACCCCUAGUUGCCACCGGGUUAAGCCGAGCACUCAAGGGGAACUGCCAGCGUCAAGCUGGAGGAAGGCGGGGAUGACGUCAAGUCAUCAUGCCCCUUACGCCCUGGGCUACACACGUGCUACAAUGGCCAGUACAAAGGGACGCGAGACUGCGAAGUGGAGCUAAUCCCAAAAAGCUGGUCUAAGUUCAGAUUGCAGUCUGCAACUCGACUGCAUGAAGGAGGAAUCGCUAGUAAUCGCGCAUCAGCACGGCGCGGUGAAUACGUUCCCGGGCCUUGUACACACCGCCCGUCACACCACGAAAGCUGUCUGUACUCGAAGUCGCUGAGA